GUUUCGGCACCCGCGGGAAGUUUGAAUUCGCAGAAGAAGACGACUGUUUAAUUCAACGCAUUCUCAGCGCAUCUGUCAAAGAGACCACUGUUUCUACACUGCUGUCAUGUUUUCCUGGCACCAUGCAGAUCCUCAGUCAGAUACAGGAAGUACAUAUACGCCACCUCUGCCUCUGCUGGCCUCACCUGCGACCCCCUGGACCUGUGAAGACUGGUGGCAGGGUGUUUGUACUGGAGCACAAACACAGAGCCCAUUGACAACUUCCUUAAUAAACACCGUGGGAAGAAGGACAUCCUCAGGAGCAUGCAGCAAUGGUCCACAAUUCCUCUACUGAUCCAAACAGCAUGCUCCAUUCGACCACAAAACUGCACAUUUCACUGUAUGUCAAGCACCUGGCCAAACUGCAGAACACCAGUUCUUCAUUAAACAACUCCAGAGAAACGUCUUGAAAGCGGGCAGUAAAACAACCAGUGUGCCAGUGGUAACAAUGAAGCCUGCGGAUGUAAACCCACCAGCACCUGCUCUGACCACACUCCUAACUCAUGAGACCAUUGAGACAAUUGUGUUAUGGAGUGGCAGCAGCACCCUGAGCAGGAGAAGACUUGUCUUGCUUGUGGACAGCCAAAGAUGGUUCCUCUAACCACUUUUUUCUUAAUCAGCAAGGCCCUGUCAGGUACUUCUACUGUUCCACAAAGGUUUUUAAUGCUUACAGUGAUUAAGAACUAACACACCCCAGAGUUAUUCACGAGUUCACACUUACAUAUAAUAAACUGAGUAAAGGUUUAUGCGUAUUUAGCGUGCUGUCCAGGGAGAGGGCUCCGAGCUCGGUACUUACCCCCGAGCCCAGGGUACUCCCCCUGUACGGGGAGAGGGGUCCGAGCUCUGCCUUUAGCCCGGACCCAGAGCGUUCCCCCCCAUGCUGGGGUAGGAACAGGCUGAAGGUGAGGAGUCGGGGUGGUGGAGGGAUGCUGAAAGACUAGAACUGAUGGAGGUAAGACUGCUUUGAUUAUUUAUAGGGGUUCUCUCUUGAGCUGAUUGGAUAGAUGGUGUGAUUGCUGAUGAUGAAGUGGCUGCGUUAAUUAUCUGCGCGUGCUCCUCCCGAAACUUGUUAAUAAAACAUCACUUCACGAGUUCACACUUACAUAUAAUAAACUGAGUAAAGGUUUAUGCGUAUUUGGCGUGCUGUCCAGGGAGAGGGCUCCGAGCUCGGUACUUACCCCCGAGCCCAGGGUACUCCCCCUGUACGGGGAGAGGGGUCCGAGCUCUGCCUUUAGCCCGGACCCAGAGCGUUCCCCCCAAGAUGCAAUAAGCACAGGACAGCAGCCAAAGAGGUGUGUUGAUACCCCCCAAAAUCGGCAGAGCUUAAUGUUGGUGGGGUGCUGGACGUCGCUUGGAGUAACGGCACUGCUGUGGCCUUUAGAGAAGAGAGUUUAGCUACUGCGGGAGCGGACACUGCUGCGGCAUCUGAAAAACAAAGGAAAGUGGCUUCUACGGAAGCGGGCACUGCUGCAACAUCUGAAAAGAGAAUCUAGCUUCUGCAGAAGCGGGCACUGCUGCAACAUCUGAAAAGAGAAAGUGGCUUCUAUUGAGAUGGGCACUGCUACGGCGUCUGAAAGAGAAUGUGGCUUCUGCGGAAGCGGGCACUGCUGCAAUAUCUGAAAAGAGAAUGUGGCUUCUGCGGAAGCGGGCACUGCUGCAACAUCUGAAAAGAGAAUGUGGCUUCUAUUGAGACGGGCACUGCUACGGCGUCUGAAAGAGAAUGUGGCUUCUGCGGAAGCGGGCACUGCUGCAAUAUCUGAAAAGAGAAUGUGGCUUCUGCGGAAGCGGGCACUGCUGCAACAUCUGAAAAGAGAAAGUGGCUUCUGCGGAAGCGGGCACUGCUGCAACAUCUGAAAAGAGAAUGUGGCUUCUGCGGAAGCGGGCACUGCUGCGGCAGUAGGGAUACAGGCUCCUGUGGGAGCAGGCACUGCUGCGGCCGUGGGAAAAUAGAGAUGAGUGGGCGGUAGAGAUACAGGCUCCUGCGGGAGUGAGAACUUCUGUGGAAUCUGAACAGAGAAUGUGGCUUCUGCGGAAGCGGGCACUGCAGCGGCAGUAUGAAAUGAGCAGGGCACUGUUACGGCCUCUGGAAAGAGAAGGAGGCUUCUGAGGGAGCAGUCACUGCUGCGGCAGCGGAGGAAUAUAGAAAAGGCUUCUGCGGGAGCAAUCACUGCUACGGCAUCUGAAAAGAGAAGGAGGCUUCUGAGGGAGCGUGCUCUGCUACGGCAGUAGGGAAAUACAGAUGCGAGCUCCUGCGGGAGCAGUUACUGCUACAGUACCUGAAAAGAGAAGGAGGCUUCUGUGGAAGCGGUCACUGCUACGGCAUCUGAAAAGAGAAGGAGGCUUCUGAGGAAGCGUGCUCUGCUACGGCAGUAGGGAAAUGCAGGUGCAAGCUCCUGCGGGAGCAGUUACUGCUAUGGUACCUGAAAAGAGAAGGAGGCUUCUGAGGAAGUGGUCACUGCUACGGCAUCUGAAAAGAGGAGGCUUCUGUGGAAAUGGUCACGGCUACGGUAUCUGAAAAGAGAAGGCUUCUGUGGGAGCAGACACUGCUGCGGCAGUGGAGGAAUAUAGAAAAGGCUCCUGCGGGAGCGAUCACUGCUACGGCAUCUGAAAAGAGAAGGAGGCUUCUGAGGAAGCGGGCACUGCUAUGGCAUCUGGAAAGAGAAGGAGGCUUCUGAGGAAGCGGUCGCUGCUACGGCAUCUGAAAAGAGAAGGCUUCUGUGGGAGCAGUCACUACUGUGGCAGUGGGUAAAAACAGAUAGGGCUCCAGCGGGAGCAGACACUGCUAUGGCAUCUGAAAAGAGAAGGAGGCUACUGAGGAAGCGUGCUCUGCUACGGCAGUAGGGAAAUGCAGAUGCAAGCUCCUGCGGGAGCAGUUACUGCUACGGUACCUGAAAAGAGGAGGCGGCUUCCGUGGAAAUGGUCACUACUGCGGGAGCCGUCACUGCUGAGGCAGUGGGUAAACUCAGAUAGGGCUCCAGUAAGAGCAGACACUGCUGCGGCAGUGGAGAAAUAUCCGAAAGGCUCCUGCGGGAGCAAUCACUGCUAUGGCAUCUGAAAAGAGAAGUAGGCUUCUGAGGAAGCGGUCGCUGCUACGGCGUCUGAAAAGAGAAGGAGGUUUCUGCGGAAGCAGGAAAUACAGAUGCAAGCUCCUGCGGGAGCAGUUACUGCUACGGUACCUGAAGAGAGAAGGCUUCUGCGGAAUCGAGUACUGCUGCGGCAGUGGAGAAAAAUCAGAUAAGUCUCUUGCGGGAGCGGGGUGUUGCUGGGAUGGUUGAAGUGGAGAUGAGCCGCUAUGAGUGGAUUUGGUGGUGUUGAUGGCUAUGGCGGGUCCGAGGGUCGAGUGAACAGGGAUGGACUGGUGUUGAAGGGGUCUGCUGAUGAGGGUUCGGUGAGCUUCUUUGAUAUGGAUGGGUCUUCACCGCUUGCGGAGACAGCCUCACUCUAGCAUCUGCUAUGGAAGCUGGAGGUCAUUGCUUCGGCUGCUGUGGCUCAUUCAUGGGAAGAGAGUGGAGUUUGUUACAUCCUGAUGAGCCUGUGGUUUGUACCACUAGCGGAGGCAGCCUCACGCUAGCGUCUGCUAUAGGAGCUGGAGGCAACUGAAAAGGAAAGGGGUUAGGAGUAAAGCCGCGGUCACACUAGACUUUGAUCAUGCGAAAUUGUUUCGCAUGCUGCAACGGUCGUGAUAUGACGUCACGCUGUGCAGCGUCUUUUCUUUAAAAACCUAAAUUCAACAUGUAACAAAUUGUAAUACAUCUAAGAUGUAAAAACAUGCAAUCUACUCCACUUUCCUGCAGCGCUGCAGUUUUAAAUUCAUGUUCUUUCUGAAUUAAAAGGAGGUCAUGCUGUUAUGUAUCAAUCUGCCGUCUCACGGUGUCACGUGAUGCGAUUUUGCAGGGCAGAGUUCACCAUGCUUGAACUUUGGAACGCAGCGAAAUGCGAAAACUUUUCGCACGGGCUUGCGUUCCGGUCUGACGCAUUCGUGUGGAUGGAAGUCAAUGGAGCGAAAAGAGCAGUGUGACCGCCCCUUAACAGGAGGAAGAGACAAAAAGACAUGUGAGGGCCUGUGUUGCAAGCGGAGACAGCUUUGCGCUUGCUUCAGCUGCUGUAGCUGCGUGACACAGGGGUUUGUGGCAUUCGGAGAGAAAAGCUGUAAAGCCUGUGCAGCCUGCACUGCUAGCAGAGGCGACCUCGCGUUAGUACCUGCUACAGGAUCUGGAGGCUGCUGAAAAGGAAAGGGUUAGGGGAAGUAGAAGGAAAGUUUGAGAUGGGUCUGCAAGCGAAGGCAGCCACAUGCUUGCUUCUGCAGCUGUCAGCUACGGAAAAAGGGGGAGUGGUUUGUAAAUUUGGCGGGACAUGCUGAAAUGUCCGGGUAGUCUGCAGCAUUGCCAACUUAGCAAUUGUGUUGCUGGAUUUAACAAUUUCUCAGACUACCCUAGCAACUUGUUUUCAAAGCAACUAGCAACAAAUGUAGCCAUUUUAAGAAUUAUUUGGAACCCUUAAAAGUGAUAAAAAUGGUAAAAGGCAUGCGUUUUCCUCUUAACCCCACAAAAGGAAAACAUAUUGAAACAGCUAGCCAGCUAAGCGGCACAUCAGCUGGUAAUGUUAGACACUGAGGGAGGUGCCUAGCAUAUGCACUUCAUAUGAAUUGAGUUGCAGGUUGCACUUGUUCAAUGAUUGUUUAUUUAUGGUACGCCUUAAUUUUUUUAUUUGUACUUAUGAUUGUUCAUUACUGUUGGUCCACUGAGAUUAAUUUUGUUUUCUGGUUAAGAUCAACAGUGGAAGAGAGGUUUCACUGUUGAUUAUCUGACUUAUCCAUUUAUCAAAAUGGAAUGAGUGAAUUAAGUACGGGUAAAAUGCUGGUGAAAAUAAGAGCAAAUUCAGUGUGUAUUCUAAGCACUUGCGUCAUGAUUACGUAAUGACAUUAACAUCCGAUGAUGUCGCGACGUCAUUUAACAACGAAACAACAAAUGACAUAUCCUUUAGCGAUUUUUACCUUGAACAUUGU
Long non-coding RNA from Onychostoma macrolepis, 5044 nucleotides. RefSeq lists it as uncharacterized. The record is from RefSeq and is a predicted model, not a curated record. Lineage: Eukaryota; Metazoa; Chordata; Actinopteri; Cypriniformes; Cyprinidae. The transcript has 3 exons.